Molecule: transfer RNA, 86 nt
Filed under: Flavobacteriia bacterium
Lineage: Bacteria; Pseudomonadati; Bacteroidota; Flavobacteriia
Description: tRNA-Tyr
Rfam family: tRNA
About the family: Transfer RNA (tRNA) molecules are approximately 80 nucleotides in length.
Source: RNAcentral
GGGGAGAUACUCAAGUGGCUAACGAGGACAGACUGUAAAUCUGUUGGUGUACACCUUCGCAGGUUCGAAUCCUGCUCUCCCCACGA